This 2503-nucleotide long non-coding RNA is filed under the name Paramuricea clavata. Lineage: Eukaryota; Metazoa; Cnidaria; Anthozoa; Malacalcyonacea; Plexauridae. The record is from RNAcentral.
UGCCUGAUAGAUCAUUGCUUCUCACACUAUAACUAUUAAAAUGUGCACCAAUUCAGGCACGAUAUUGCUCAAUUGUUACCCCCAUUUAACCAAAUGCAAUAUAUAUCACUGCAACUUGAUCUAUCAGCAGCAGUAAUAGAGGUCUGUAAAAUUUGCAGUUUUAUAUAUGAUAUGCUGUAGCUCUGAGUCACGUGAUACCUUCGUACAAUGGCUCUCGUUUGUUUUUUUACACAAUGGCUCUCGUUUGUUUUUUUACACAAUGGCUCUCGUUUGUUUAGAACACAAUCUUGUUUGUUUCCGUUUGUUUGUUUAGAAUUGAUGUAAAUUUUAUUUGAGUUGCCCGUUGCCACACCGUGACCAACACGCAAAGUGUCUGAUCAAUAUAUUGAUCAGCGACAGCUUGAACAGUGAAUGAACACAAUGAUUCCCAACACCAAAUAUGCACUGUCAGGUUUAUAAAAUCAAACACAAGCCUACAUAAAUAGAAGAACAAAUCGUCAAAUCUUCUGAAAAUUCUUCGUAAACUAAAAGGAUCACAGAUAAUGCUUUGAUCUUACCUUAAAUAAAUGACUUUACAAGAAGACGUAAUUCUUAAAAAUCGCAAAUUAUCUGCUAAAUACUUGCCAACUUGUAAGUUUCGCCCUCGUGCUAAAUCUUGGCAAGUCCCGAAGAGCAGCCGGUAGCUUCCGUAAAAACCCGUCGAAUCUUCUACGUCACAAAACGUCAUAAAACUGAACAUCCAAACAUUGCUAAAUCCAAAUCAUUGUCGCAUUCAUAUAACUCGGUAAAGAGGUCUGGGAACAAAUCACAAGAAUAGGAAGCUGCCUGCGGCAGCAAUUAUUAAUGAGUAUUUUAAUUAUAUUUAAAAUACUCAUUAAUAAUUCAUAAACCUUGUGGCGAAUCAUGUCGGCCAUAAUAUGUCACGUGGAGUGACUUUAUAUAGUGAUAAAGCAUGAGGCAUUAUAUAAUUGUUCAUCCUAAUUAGUAUGAUUAUACAGGGUGUAUCAAAAAUCGAACUUCAGCCGUUCAGCGCGCUAUUGUAUCUGAAUUACUGUGCAUAUGAACGAGAUUUUUCAGAUUCGGAAAGAUCAUGCUUUUAAUGAUAUCUUCUUCAUGCCAAAUGGAUAAAAAAUGAGCAAAUACGAAUCCGAUAAAAAAUGUUAGUCAGAAUCGCAUAUUUUCACCGUUGAGAGUUGGGUCUAAAACCAUUGAAAAUGAACCCCUUUGGUACUGAAGUUGAUGAAUUUCACUUCAUUAAACUACGCACAUAUUCAUAAUUAUUAUUAAGUAGGAAUAAAUCUUAGCUAAGCUACGACACGUUCGUGAUUAAUUGCUUUUUCUUUUGUUAUGCAUUGUUUUAAUUAGGCACGGAGGUGAAAAUAUGCGAUUUUGACUAACAUUUUUUAUCGGCCUCGUACAUGCUUGUUUUUUCUCCACUUGGUAUGAAAAGCAUGUCAUACAAUAGCUAAAAGCCUGAUCUUUCCAAAUAUGAAAACCAAUUGUUCAUACGCCGAGCGAUUCACGUAUAAUAGCGCGCUAAAGUUCGAUUACCUUUUUUUUGAUACACCCUGUAUAAUGGUUCAUCCUAAUUAGUAUUCUUUUUUUUUUCUUUUUUUUUUAUUUAUUUUUGCCCAAUUUUCCAAAGUACAAUAAAAUUUAACUAUUUACAUUUUUAUAAUCUAUACGUAGGGCUAGAGAUCUUUUAGAAACCCUUUUGGGCUUUUAUUUUAAGACCCCUAGUUAUAACAAAACUUUUAUUACUUAGUAUAAUUUCAUGAUGUCAUAAAAAUAGUACAUAAUAUAAUAACGAAAAUAUAUACAAUUGUGAGAGUGUUUAAAGGAAAGUUAGUCUGUGGUCGUAUUUUAAGCUAUUCAAAAUACUCGUUGUCGUGUUUUAUCAGACAUAAAACGCUCGGCUGCGCCUCGCGUUUUAUAUCUGAUAAAACACUCCUACUCGUGUUUUAAAUAGUACUUAUGCCGUAUUUAACAAGGUAUAGGCACAGUAUUAUUAAAAAAAUGGACAUGGCCAGAAAUCACGGACAUGAUUUAUCCUAUUAAACCAUGAUACAAUAUUUAACACGCCUAUAGCCAUUGGGCCACCCACGAUUUUAAGGUAUUCAUUACGUGUGGCUUUGUUCCAGGUUAGGAAAAUGCCGAAUUUUUAAACUAAGGCGUUGUCAAGAGAAGGCGAGGACGCGUGGGAUAGAGUUUUACUUGAAGAAUACUUGGGUGUCAAGAGGCAUAUUAUGAGAUCAGGAUGGAAUUAUGUUCAUACAGGUCCUUCAAAUAUAGUGUCGUCACAUGCACUCCCCCAACGAUUACAAACCCUCUCAUUUAAACUUCCAGAAGACAGAAAUUCUUUGACAUUUCUUUCCAAUAUCAAAAAGCAUGAAGUCCUUCAAAAAUUUAGUCCAGCAAAAAGUUGACUUUCAUCCAAUUCAACUUCAAGAGUUAUUAUUCAAAUACAAAAUUAUUUAUUCAAAAUUUCACUGCGAGUAUAUAU